GAUGAACGCUGGCGGCGUGCCUAAUACAUGCAAGUCGAGCGAACAGACGAGGAGCUUGCUCCUCUGACGUUAGCGGCGGACGGGUGAGUAACACGUGGAUAACCUACCUAUAAGACUGGGAUAACUUCGGGAAACCGGAGCUAAUACCGGAUAAUAUAUUUAACCGCAUGGUUCAAUAGUGAAAGACGGUUUUGCUGUCACUUAUAGAUGGAUCCGCGCCGCAUUAGCUAGUUGGUAAGGUAACGGCUUACCAAGGCAACGAUGCGUAGCCGACCUGAGAGGGUGAUCGGCCACACUGGAACUGAGACACGGUACAGACUCCUACGGGAGGCAGCAGUAGGGAAUCUUCCGCAAUGGGCGAAAGCCUGACGGAGCAACGCCGCGUGAGUGAUGAAGGUCUUCGGAUCGUAAAACUCUGUUAUUAGGGAAGAACAAAUGUGUAAGUAACUAUGCACGUCUUGACGGUACCUAAUCAGAAAGCCACGGCUAACUACGUG
This 497-nucleotide ribosomal RNA is filed under the name uncultured bacterium. RNAcentral's name for it is "partial 16S ribosomal RNA". It matches the Rfam family "Bacterial small subunit ribosomal RNA", at positions 28 to 507 of the family's 1533-position model. The record is from RNAcentral.